RNAcentral lists this ribosomal RNA (2545 nucleotides) under Salmonella enterica subsp. enterica serovar Oslo. RNAcentral describes it as "partial 23S ribosomal RNA". It matches the Rfam family "Bacterial large subunit ribosomal RNA", at positions 419 to 2925 of the family's 2925-position model. The record is from RNAcentral. Lineage: Bacteria; Pseudomonadati; Pseudomonadota; Gammaproteobacteria; Enterobacterales; Enterobacteriaceae.
GGGACACGUGGUAUCCUGUCUGAAUAUGGGGGGACCAUCCUCCAAGGCUAAAUACUCCUGACUGACCGAUAGUGAACCAGUACCGUGAGGGAAAGGCGAAAAGAACCCCGGCGAGGGGAGUGAAAAAGAACCUGAAACCGUGUACGUACAAGCAGUGGGAGCACCCUUUUGGGUGUGACUGCGUACCUUUUGUAUAAUGGGUCAGCGACUUAUAUUCUGUAGCAAGGUUAACCGAAUAGGGGAGCCGGAGGGAAACCGAGUCUUAAUUGGGCGUUAAGUUGCAGGGUAUAGACCCGAAACCCGGUGAUCUAGCCAUGGGCAGGUUGAAGGUUGGGUAACACUAACUGGAGGACCGAACCGACUAAUGUUGAAAAAUUAGCGGAUGACCUGUGGCUGGGGGUGAAAGGCCAAUCAAACCGGGAGAUAGCUGGUUCUCCCCGAAAGCUAUUUAGGUAGCGCCUCGUGAACUCAUCUCCGGGGGUAGAGCACUGUUUCGGCUAGGGGGCCAUCCCGGCUUACCAACCCGAUGCAAACUGCGAAUACCGGAGAAUGUUAUCACGGGAGACACACGGCGGGUGCUAACGUCCGUCGUGAAGAGGGAAACAACCCAGACCGCCAGCUAAGGUCCCAAAGUCAUGGUUAAGUGGGAAACGAUGUGGGAAGGCCCAGACAGCCAGGAUGUUGGCUUAGAAGCAGCCAUCAUUUAAAGAAAGCGUAAUAGCUCACUGGUCGAGUCGGCCUGCGCGGAAGAUGUAACGGGGCUAAACCAUGCACCGAAGCUGCGGCAGCGACGCUCAGGCGUUGUUGGGUAGGGGAGCGUUCUGUAAGCCUGUGAAGGUGGCCUGUGAGGGUUGCUGGAGGUAUCAGAAGUGCGAAUGCUGACAUAAGUAACGAUAAAGCGGGUGAAAAGCCCGCUCGCCGGAAGACCAAGGGUUCCUGUCCAACGUUAAUCGGGGCAGGGUGAGUCGACCCCUAAGGCGAGGCCGAAAGGCGUAGUCGAUGGGAAACGGGUUAAUAUUCCCGUACUUGGUGUUACUGCGAAGGGGGGACGGAGAAGGCUAUGUUGGCCGGGCGACGGUUGUCCCGGUUUAAGCGUGUAGGUGUGUGUUCCAGGUAAAUCCGGUUCACUUUAACACUGAGGCGUGACGACGAGGCACUACGGUGCUGAAGCAACAAAUGCCCUGCUUCCAGGAAAAGCCUCUAAGCAUCAGGUAACAUCAAAUCGUACCCCAAACCGACACAGGUGGUCAGGUAGAGAAUACCAAGGCGCUUGAGAGAACUCGGGUGAAGGAACUAGGCAAAAUGGUGCCGUAACUUCGGGAGAAGGCACGCUGACACGUAGGUGAAGUGAUUUACUCAUGGAGCUGAAGUCAGUCGAAGAUACCAGCUGGCUGCAACUGUUUAUUAAAAACACAGCACUGUGCAAACACGAAAGUGGACGUAUACGGUGUGACGCCUGCCCGGUGCCGGAAGGUUAAUUGAUGGGGUCAGCGCAAGCGAAGCUCCUGAUCGAAGCCCCGGUAAACGGCGGCCGUAACUAUAACGGUCCUAAGGUAGCGAAAUUCCUUGUCGGGUAAGUUCCGACCUGCACGAAUGGCGUAAUGAUGGCCAGGCUGUCUCCACCCGAGACUCAGUGAAAUUGAACUCGCUGUGAAGAUGCAGUGUACCCGCGGCAAGACGGAAAGACCCCGUGAACCUUUACUAUAGCUUGACACUGAACAUUGAGCCUUGAUGUGUAGGAUAGGUGGGAGGCUUUGAAGCGUGGACGCCAGUCUGCGUGGAGCCGACCUUGAAAUACCACCCUUUAAUGUUUGAUGUUCUAACGUGGACCCGUUACCCGGGUUGCGGACAGUGUCUGGUGGGUAGUUUGACUGGGGCGGUCUCCUCCUAAAGAGUAACGGAGGAGCACGAAGGUUGGCUAAUCCUGGUCGGACAUCAGGAGGUUAGUGCAAUGGCAUAAGCCAGCUUGACUGCGAGCGUGACGGCGCGAGCAGGUGCGAAAGCAGGUCAUAGUGAUCCGGUGGUUCUGAAUGGAAGGGCCAUCGCUCAACGGAUAAAAGGUACUCCGGGGAUAACAGGCUGAUACCGCCCAAGAGUUCAUAUCGACGGCGGUGUUUGGCACCUCGAUGUCGGCUCAUCACAUCCUGGGGCUGAAGUAGGUCCCAAGGGUAUGGCUGUUCGCCAUUUAAAGUGGUACGCGAGCUGGGUUUAGAACGUCGUGAGACAGUUCGGUCCCUAUCUGCCGUGGGCGCUGGAGAACUGAGGGGGGCUGCUCCUAGUACGAGAGGACCGGAGUGGACGCAUCACUGGUGUUCGGGUUGUCAUGCCAAUGGCACUGCCCGGUAGCUAAAUGCGGAAGAGAUAAGUGCUGAAAGCAUCUAAGCACGAAACUUGCCCCGAGAUGAGUUCUCCCUGAGACUUAGAGUCUCCUGAAGGAACGUUGAAGACGACGACGUUGAUAGGCCGGGUGUGUAAGCGCAGCGAUGCGUUGAGCUAACCGGUACUAAUGAACCGUGAGGCUUAACCUUACAACGCCGAAGCUGUU